Molecule: ribosomal RNA, 468 nt
Filed under: uncultured bacterium
Lineage: Bacteria
Description: partial 16S ribosomal RNA
Rfam family: Bacterial small subunit ribosomal RNA
Source: RNAcentral
GACGAACGCUGGCGGCGUGCUUAACACAUGCAAGUCGAACGGAAAGGCCCUGCUUUUGUGGGGUGCUCGAGUGGCGAACGGGUGAGUAACACGUGAGUAACCUGCCCUUGACUUUGGGAUAACUUCAGGAAACUGGGGCUAAUACCGGAUAGGAGCUCCUGCUGCAUGGUGGGGGUUGGAAAGUUUCGGCGGUUGGGGAUGGACUCGCGGCUUAUCAGCUUGUUGGUGGGGUAGUGGCUUACCAAGGGUUUGACGGGUAGCCGGCCUGAGAGGGUGAACGGCCACAUUGGGACUGAGAUACGGCCCAGACUCCUACGGGAGGCAGCAGUGGGGAAUAUUGCACAAUGGGCGGAAGCCUGAUGCAGCAACGCCGCGUGCGGGAUGACGGCCUUCGGGUUGUAAACCGCUUUCGCCUGUGACGAAGCGUGAGUGACGGUAAUGGGUAAAGAAGCACCGGCUAACUACGUG